UGGGGUGUCCCAAUAGAUUGGGCAAAUAGAUUUUGUGUGAGCUGACCCGUUUAAAUUCUUCUCUUAAAACCUAAGUGGGGUGACUCAUUUGCUAUGCUUCUUCCUUCUCUUCUCAUCCCAAAUUGAAACCCUUCUCCAAACUCUCCAUCGGCCAUAAUCUCCUAAAUCCAUCCCCUUAUCCGUCCAAAAAUCUUUGAUUUCUACCUCAAAAUCUAGGAUAAACAUAUUCUCUCGGCAUAUCUUUGAUCAAAGCCCUCUCCUUCUUGCUCUCCAUCAAAACCUUAAGCUCUAAUCUCAAAAAUCUAAGACAAUCACCUUAAAAUUCCUUACUUC
This 333-nucleotide long non-coding RNA is filed under the name Elaeis guineensis (African oil palm). RNAcentral's name for it is "long non-coding RNA (EGUI_LNC071347)". The record is from RNAcentral. Lineage: Eukaryota; Viridiplantae; Streptophyta; Magnoliopsida; Arecales; Arecaceae.